AUGGCCAUAAUAAUGUUAAUUAAGUGGCCUCUUAACAGUAUGAUAUGUUACUGUUUCAGGCUUCAUUGUUAUGAGAAUGUUACAUUGGAAGCCAAUCUACAGAAAAAUGGAGUCAGUGGGACUCUCCAAACCUCUCUUUGGUUAAAAGUGUCUGACAUGAAAAUGAUCUGUGACUGUAUCAGGGCAUCUGGCUACAGUUUGAGUGAAAUAGACUUGUCUGUGAGCUAUGUGGCUGACCUAUCAGACACUGACGUGGAUGACCUGAGUGCAAUCAUCCACCCUGUAGACAAGUUAAGGCUCAGGUUUCAACACAAAGAUUUAUAUGGACUGGACGCAAUGAGUGAAGGUUUACACUCCCAGAUAUCACUCAGAGGGAUUGAAAUAACCCUCUGUGGCGAUCCCGUAUUCGACUGGAGAAAAUUAUUUCAGCUAGUUCACACUCUGGAGCAACAUCCAGAUUGGGAUGAGCAUGUUGAAGCACUGAUCUCGCUGCUACACUCUCAAACCUCUCUGGAGGACAUCGGUCUGUUUGUGAGCCGCUUGACAGAGAGGUGUGCUACCAGUGUAAUCAGUCUCAGCCAGGCCUGCCCAAACCUGCGGAUGAUAUCUCUUCAUGUAGUUGAACACAGUUUGUUAUUGGAGGAGGUAUUACAACGCUUACGUGCAUCAAAGAGGCGCCCAGAUUGCCGGGUACUUGUCGCCGGGUGGAGAUGCAGGAAACCUGCUGACCAGUGCACAGGCCGGAAGGACUGGAGUCUCUGUUGUGAUGACUCUGUUAGGCUCAAUCUACAUGGAGAAACAUUCACAGAGAGUGUGAUAAGGCAUGGGAAGAAAAGUGACAGGCCUAGUUAUCACCCUAAGAGUAAUAGAUGGUGUGUUGUUGCCUAG
Oncorhynchus kisutch (coho salmon) is the source of this 888-nucleotide long non-coding RNA. The record is from Ensembl. Lineage: Eukaryota; Metazoa; Chordata; Actinopteri; Salmoniformes; Salmonidae.